Molecule: ribosomal RNA, 253 nt
Filed under: uncultured bacterium
Lineage: Bacteria
Description: partial 16S ribosomal RNA
Rfam family: Bacterial small subunit ribosomal RNA
Source: RNAcentral
UACGUAGGGACCAAGCGUUGUUCGGAUUUACUGGGCGUAAAGGGCGCGUAGGCGGCGUGACAAGUCACUUGUGAAAUCUCUGGGCUUAACCCAGAACGGCCAAGUGAAACUGUUGUGCUAGAGUGCAGAAGGGGCAAUCGGAAUUCUCGGUGUAGCGGUGAAAUGCGUGGAUAUCGAGAGGAACACCAGAGGUGAAGACGGGUUGCUGGGCUGACACUGACGCUGAGGCGCGAAAGCCAGGGGAGCAAACGGG